Molecule: ribosomal RNA, 468 nt
Filed under: uncultured bacterium
Lineage: Bacteria
Description: partial 16S ribosomal RNA
Rfam family: Bacterial small subunit ribosomal RNA
Source: RNAcentral
GACGAACGCUGGCGGCGUGCUUAACACAUGCAAGUCGAACGGAAAGGCCCUGCUUUUGUGGGGUGCUCGAGUGGCGAACGGGUGAGUAACACGUGAGUAACCUGCCCUUGACUUUGGGAUAACUUCAGGAAACUGGGGCUAAUACCGGAUAGGAGCUCCGGCUGCAUGGUGGGGGUUGGAAAGUUUCGGCGGUUGGGUAUGGACUCGCGGCUUAUCAGCUUGUUGGUGGGGUAGUGGCUUACCAAGGCUUUGACGGGUAGCCGGACUGAGAGGGUGACCGGCCCGAUUGGGACUGAGAUACGGCCCAGACUCCUACGGAGGGCAGCAGUGGGGACUAUUGCACAAUGGGCGGAAGCCUGAUGCAGCAACGCCGCGUGCGGGAUGACGGCCUUCGGGUUGUAAACCGAUUUCGCCUAUGACGAAGCGUGAGUGACGGUAAUGGGUAAAGAAGCACCGGCUAACUACGUG